Molecule: ribosomal RNA, 291 nt
Filed under: uncultured fungus
Lineage: Eukaryota; Fungi
Description: partial 18S ribosomal RNA
Source: RNAcentral
CCGUUGCCGAGAGUCAUUGUAUGUAAAUGUUGUGUCGUGACGACUCCCGCGGGACACCGUCUCCGGGCCCCCGGGAGUCGCACUUAACAGAUUUGAGUUCCUUGGCGCACGAAGCGCCGGGGUUUGUGUUUGUCGCGAGGACGAGGAGGCCGGGCGCACGGGGCGCCGUGGUCAUCCCCUCCCUCCCGACGGUAGAUGAAUAAACAAGUUCGCGGGUCAAUCUGAUUGUGAGGCAUCGACAAUGAUCCUUCCGCAGGUUCACCUACGGAAAUCGAAUUCCGGCUGCCACAC